GCUGAAGCCUGUGUUUUUUUGAAGGAGUAUCUUAACUAUGAGAACCUAAAGUACUUCCUGCCUCUGCAGAUAGAGGACUAAUUUUCUGACUCUCUUGUUAACAUUAAAGGCAAAUACUGGCUGGGUGAAGAGGUGUGUCGAGUAACUUUGUGGCUGCAGGUGAACAUGGUCUUUAUGGUGGUAGUCCAGGUGAAAAGAGGCCUGGAGCUAAUCAGCUGUUUUUAAACUGGAAGGCUGUAGCACUUAUUUUAGCACAAUCUGAAGGAGCUCAGAGAUUUUCAGAUGUCCUUGUCAAAAGCUGCUAUUGCUAUUGUCGACUCCUAAAAGCAUCUGGAAUAACUUUCGAAGUGAAAAUAUGUCAAGAGACUGCUGAGCUCUUCAGCCCUGCUGAGUAGCUGUAUUACAUCAGUACCCAUAGAUCUCUUUCCCAUUUGAGUAGGUCAUUUAUAUCUUGUAACGUCAGAAAGCCUGUCCAUCUAGGAAACAAAGGCUGCAUAAAAAUAAAAAAGAUUACCUGACUUCUUGCAAGUUGAUUUUGGAGGCCUUUGGUAUGUGGGAAUAUAUAGUAUGUCAUGUAGUUUAACUGGGAGACUCUCUAUCCCUCGUUGCCCAAAGUAUGUUUUUAUUCCAGCUACUCUCAGAUUCUCUACAAAGCACUGAAAUGCACAGAUGUUGCAUUACUUGGGCUGCUGAAAGUGACAAGGUGUGGAUUUAUGUUGUGAUUGCUGUUACACUUCACAGAAGCAAAAUGUCAGUGUCUAAUAUGUGGGUAUUGAAUCAUGGCAGUGGCGAAUUUAUUUCCUUGUAGCUGCUCUUGCAUUCUUUCUGUUAGUACCUAGUACACUGCAAAAAAUGCUGGAAGGCAGAAGUUGUGCCAGAACACUUCUCUGCUACUUGAAGGUUUUGUUACACUGUACAUUCAGGAGAACAUAUCCACAGUCACUCUUUUUAUUUUGAUGUAUUUGUUGUAACCCAGCCAUGUGUAAUAGUGAACUUCUGGAAGGUUGGGCUGCUGAAAUGCUUCCACAUUCCAGCUGAUUAGGACAAUUAAAAGAAAUAUGUGUAUUAAUGUGACUGUUACUGCAUCUAUUUCAUACUAUUUCUAUUAAAUGUUGACCCUGCUCUGAAGGUAUUAAGUGUGAUAAGAGCUGUUUGAUUGAGU
Non-coding RNA from Sturnus vulgaris (Common starling), 1162 nucleotides. NCBI's taxonomy places the organism in Eukaryota, Metazoa, Chordata, Aves, Passeriformes, Sturnidae. The record is from RefSeq and is a predicted model, not a curated record.